GGAGCGGGAACGGGAAUGGGAACGGGAACGGUCCCCUCAGGGAGCAAAGGGAACGGGAACGGCCCGGGUCCCUCGGGGCCCGGGGGAGCGGCGGUACCGACACAGGCGGGGCCGCCCCGGCCCCCUCGGAGCGGCCGGGCCCGAGCGCGGCUCUCGCUGCCCUGCCGUGUUACUGUGCGGGGCUGUGGGGCCGGGCGGGAGCGCGGGGUGUCUGUGUGUCCGUGUGGGGGUGUCUGUGUGUCCGUGUGGGGGUGUCUGUGUGUCCCUGUGGGGGUGUCUGUGUGUCCGUGUGGAGGUGUCUGUGUGUCGGUGUGGGGGUGUCUGUGUGUCCGUGUGGAGGUGUCUGUGUGUCCAUGUGGGGGUGUCUGUGUGUCCAUGUGGGGUGUCUGUGUGUCCCUGUGGGGUGUCUGUGUGUCCGUGUGGGGGUGUCUGUGUGUCCGUGUGGGGGUGUCCGUGUGUCCGUGUGGGGGUGUCUGUGUGUCCGUAUGGAGGUGUCUGUGUGUCCGUGUGGGGGUGUCUGUGUGUCCGUGUGGGGGUGUCCGUGUGUCCGUGUGGGGGUGUCCGUGUGUCCGUAUGGAGGUGUCUGUGUGUCCAUGUCUGUGUGUCCAUGUGGGGGUGUCUGUGUGUCCGUCUGGGGGUGUCUGUGUGUCCGUAUGGAGGUGUCUGUGUGUCCGAAGGGCCGCGCUGCGCUUUGUGCUCGAAACCGGGAAUUGAAAGCGCUGGAAAAACGCCUUUGAGAACCCGCGUGUGCUCGCCGCGAGCUCUUGGCACAGGUUGGGCAGAGAAGCUGUGGCUGCCCCUGGAUCCCUGGAAGUGUCCAAGGCCAGGUUGGACGGGGCUUGGAGCAACCUGGGCUGGUGGAAGGUGUCCCUGCCCGUGGCAGGGGGUGGGAAUGGAUGUAAGGUCCCUUCCAGCCCACACCGAUCUGGGAUUCCGUGAUGCUCCCUCCGCUCCACCCUGUCCUGCUCCACUGCCCUCCCACCUGCCGUGGCAAAUUAACGGAUUUAAAUAGAUGACGCUUUCCUGUUCUCAAUAAAUUAAUUCUAUCCCAGGCAGCUUGAAUAUCCCA
Molecule: RNA transcript, 1069 nt
Organism: Myiozetetes cayanensis
Lineage: Eukaryota; Metazoa; Chordata; Aves; Passeriformes; Tyrannidae
Exons: 2
Source: RefSeq, a predicted model, not a curated record